UUUCCGUAGGUGAACCUGCGGAAGGAUCAUUAAAGAGAAUGUGCCCUUCGGGGUAGAUCUCCCACCCUUUGUUUAUAUUACCUUUGUUGCUUUGGCAGGCCCGUCUUCGGACCACCGGCUUCGGCUGGUCAGUGUUUGCCAGAGGACCCAAAACUCUUAUUAUUAAUGUCGUCUGAGUACUAUAUAAUAGUUAAAACUUUCAACAACGGAUCUCUUGGUUCUG
RNAcentral lists this unclassified non-coding RNA (223 nucleotides) under plant metagenome. Its description in RNAcentral is "partial contains small subunit ribosomal RNA, internal transcribed spacer 1, and 5.8S ribosomal RNA". The record is from RNAcentral.